UUUUUUUUUAACCAUGACUGUGCAAUGUCUCAUUCCAUUAGGCUAACAGUGCUACCCCUUAGCGAGCUUUCAACCAACGACUCCCAGACCAUAUAAGACCUUAGGGCGCUAGGUGUUAAGACACCCCUUCGGGCGUACUUGCUCAAGUAACAAAGGCCCCGAAACAAAACUAGCCACGGUAUUUUUUUUUUUUUUUUACUGAAGCUUAUAUAUCCCAAAUUUUUCCCCCAAACUUAAGUUUUUGUCUAAAUUCAGUCAUCGCCGCCUAUUCAUGUCUUUCAUUCAUUUAAACUAGUAUUAUCCUCAAGAAGUCCAUUAUGUGUAAAUUUAAACUCAAUCAGUUAACAUAGUUGUUUUUACUGUGCUAUCCUUAUUAUAUCAGUUUCAAACAGGUAAAGAUUCAAAUCAUGACAAGAAAUCACAUCACAGUCUUAACAGUCAGUACUAUACUUGUCUACUCAAUUCCAAUCUCAUCACUGGCCAAAACAGACUUAAACUAUCUAACAGCUGGAAACAUGCAAAUAUUUGAAAUUUUCUUUUCUUUUUCCAUUUUUUUU
This 557-nucleotide long non-coding RNA is filed under the name Panax ginseng (ginseng). RNAcentral's name for it is "long non-coding RNA (PGIN_LNC011200)". The record is from RNAcentral. Lineage: Eukaryota; Viridiplantae; Streptophyta; Magnoliopsida; Apiales; Araliaceae.